RNAcentral lists this ribosomal RNA (253 nucleotides) under uncultured bacterium. Its description in RNAcentral is "partial 16S ribosomal RNA". It matches the Rfam family "Bacterial small subunit ribosomal RNA", at positions 524 to 776 of the family's 1533-position model. The record is from RNAcentral.
UACGAGGGGGGCGAGCGUUGUUCGGAAUUAUUGGGCGUAAAGGGCGCGUAGGCGGUGCGGUAAGUCACCUGUGAAACCCCCUGGCUCAACUGGGAGCUUGCAGGCGAAACUGCCGUGCUGGAGUGUGGGAGAGGUGCGUGGAAUUCCUGGUGUAGCGGUGAAAUGCGUAGAUAUCAGGAGGAACACCUGUGGCGAAAGCGGCGCACUGGACCACAACUGGCGCUGAGGCGCGAAAGCUAGGGGAGCAAACAGG